RNAcentral lists this ribosomal RNA (506 nucleotides) under uncultured bacterium. Its description in RNAcentral is "partial 16S ribosomal RNA". It matches the Rfam family "Bacterial small subunit ribosomal RNA", at positions 29 to 523 of the family's 1533-position model. The record is from RNAcentral.
AGUGAACGCUGGCGGUAGGCCUAACACAUGCAAGUCGAACGGCAGCACAGAGGAGCUUGCUCCUUGGGUGGCGAGUGGCGGACGGGUGAGGAAUACAUCGGAAUCUACUCUGUCGUGGGGGAUAACGUAGGGAAACUUACGCUAAUACCGCAUACGACCUAUGGGUGAAAGCAGGGGACCUUCGGGCCUUGCGCGAUUGAAUGAGCCGAUGUCGGAUUAGCUAGUUGGCGGGGUAAAGGCCCACCAAGGCGACGAUCCGUAGCUGGUCUGAGAGGAUGAUCAGCCACACUGGAACUGAGACACGGUCCAGACUCCUACGGGAGGCAGCAGUGGGGAAUAUUGGACAAUGGGCGCAAGCCUGAUCCAGCCAUACCGCGUGGGUGAAGAAGGCCUUCGGGUUGUAAAGCCCUUUUGUUGGGAAAGAAAUCCAGCUGGCUAAUACCCGGUUGGGAUGACGGUACCCAAAGAAUAAGCUCCGGCUAACUUCGUGCCAGCAGCCGCCGUAA